Molecule: long non-coding RNA, 149 nt
Organism: Nycticebus coucang (slow loris)
Lineage: Eukaryota; Metazoa; Chordata; Mammalia; Primates; Lorisidae
Exons: 3
Source: RefSeq, a predicted model, not a curated record
AAAAGCCCUUUGGAAAACUGGCCAGUUACCCAUCAGUAACAUUUCCUGAUCUGUGGACACCCUACCCAGGAGGGUUGCGCCAGAGGCAUGGACUAUCUUUUAUGACAUCUAGAGAUCAAGGGACCAAGUUUAAGUCUGGAAUCAGAACC